AAGAACCAUCUUGUAAAAUAUAGGUUGUGUUGUUUGUUUUAUUCCUUCUUACUGAAGGAAUCCUGAGAACCUUGCCGUUACACCCAACAAGUAACAAGCGCGUUCCGUUGUUGACGUGAGAUAUGAAAUGAAAAUGAAAUUCAAUUAAAAUUAAAAUUUGAAAUUAAAUCCCCAAAUCCAAACACAUUCUCUUUCCUUGCUCACUAAUUCACUAUUCACUCACUUAACUUCACCUCAGCUCAGAUCAAUGCAAGAACCUUCUAGAACCGCCACCGGUUACCCGGCCCCACCCUUCAACCACCCUAACGGUGGCCAACCGCCACCGCCAUCCACCACCGCCUACCCCUACGCCGCACCUCCUCCCUACCAGCCCCAUCCUCAGUACUACAAUCCCCAACCCUACCAACAGCGCUACUCCCCUUCCCGCUCCUUCUUCCGCGCCUUCAUCGCCACCAUGAUCUGCCUCGCCGUCGUCUUCGGUGUCGUCCUCAUUAUCACCUGGCUCGUCCUCCGCCCUUCCCUCCCUCACUUCACCAUCACCACCUUCUCCGUCCAGAACUUCUCCACAACAGCACAAACCGUCUCCGCCACGUGGCACCUCACCUUCCUCCUCCGCAACAAUAACCACAAGAUGUCCGUUACCUAUAACGUGCUUCGCCCUUCCCUCUUCUACCACUCUAACUACCUUGCCGACUCGCAGCUACCGCCGUUCAAGCAGGACACCAGGUCCGAGAACACGCUCAACGCAACCUUGGUUGCCGUCGACGCUUACCUCGAGCCACGCGCCGUGACCGAUUUGAACGCCGAGAAGUCGAGUGGCUCCGUUACGUUCGACGUGCAGCUGCUGGCUUCCGCAUCCUUCCGAUCCGGUUCGUGGCGGUUCAGGCCGCGCGUGCUCAAGGUUCUCUGCCGGAAGGUUCCCGUGGGCUUAACGUCGAAAUCCUCCUCCGGUCAGCUUGUCGGCGGAUCCAGGGAGUGCCAGAGUGUUUCCUGGUAACAAAUUGAAGGCCUAUUGAUUAUUGGGUAAAAUAGUCAUAUUUGUUGUUGCCCUGCCCUCUUCAUCCCCUUUAAUUAACUCAAAAGAAAAAUGUCAAAAUCGAGUAUUUGGGAUGGUUAAGGGAUGAUGAUGAUGAAGUUAUUGAAAGACCUUCAGUUCUUUCACUGUGCCGGAUCUGGCUAUGCAUGGAUAUCAAGUUCGUGUAUUUGGGAUGGUUUGGUUAGUCCUAUAGGAGGGAUCAUUAACCUGUUGAAGCUGGUAUCCAACAGUAUGACAGUUCUUAUGCUUGCGGCUAUUUAUUUUUAUGAAUUGAGUACGAAAUUGGGGCUUGCUGUUGAUUUAGAGAUUGGAGGAAUAACACCUAAGACCCAUUGGCGACAAUUGGUAAUUUGAAAAUCUUUUUCAAAUAAUCAAGCUUGAAUCAAAGAAUGGUGUCCCUAACAACAAAUAAUCUUUGUUGUUAUUUGUUCUAGACUACUAUCUUCCAAAUGGCAGCUACAUUCCUAAGGUGAUGAUUAUGUAUUGUAAUGGAUUCCUUCUUAUCAUAUGCUUUCACUUCUAAUUUAUUUCUGGCUACUGGAAUCUCUCAACAAUAAAGUAUCAUCAUGUGAGUUUCUUUGCUUUAUUCUUAUAUUGCUUUGGCAUUGUUGUAUGUUCCCCUGAUUUUGAAUCAUUUUAUGAAAGAAGUAUUUGGCAUCACCUUGAUUUACUUUCACAAAUUGGAAGUUCUUAUACGCCACCUUUUGUACCCUGGGAAUGUUGUAAAUUGGAAUAGUAAAGGCCUUCACACUCGAGUUUCAUAAGCAUUAACGUUGGAAUUAUACAGGUAUAGGUUCAAAUGCAUGUAUUGUCGGUUAGUUCGGGGAGAGAGUAUUGUAUAAGCAUGUAUUGUUUAAAGCCUGUUCUACUCCUGUUCUACCUUACUUAUAAGGAGGGGUUGGUAUCCUGGUAUAUUAAGGCGAAGAUACCAAGAGAUUUGUGUUAUGCCAUAUUUUAAAUUAUAUAUCCAAAUUUGGUAUUUU
This is a non-coding RNA of Arachis ipaensis, 2019 nucleotides long. The record is from RefSeq and is a predicted model, not a curated record. NCBI's taxonomy places the organism in Eukaryota, Viridiplantae, Streptophyta, Magnoliopsida, Fabales, Fabaceae.